This 301-nucleotide ribosomal RNA is filed under the name uncultured bacterium. RNAcentral describes it as "partial 16S ribosomal RNA". It matches the Rfam family "Bacterial small subunit ribosomal RNA", at positions 509 to 807 of the family's 1533-position model. The record is from RNAcentral.
CAGUAGCCACGGGAAUACAGAGGGUGCGAGCGUUAAUCGGAUUUACUGGGCGUAAAGCGUGCGUAGGCGGCUUUUUAAGUCGGAUGUGAAAUCCCUGAGCUUAACUUAGGAAUUGCAUUCGAUACUGGGAAGCUAGAGUAUGGGAGAGGAUGGUAGAAUUCCAGGUGUAGCGGUGAAAUGCGUAGAGAUCUGGAGGAAUACCGAUGGCGAAGGCAGCCAUCUGGCCUAAUACUGACGCUGAGGUACGAAAGCAUGGGGAGCAAACAGGAUUAGAAACCCCAGUAGUCCCUGUCUCUUAUAC